GGGGACAUUGCUCUCAUUAAAGUCAGUGGGGAAGGGGAGAACUGGAGUUUCUAUUCUUCCUGGCUCAAACACAAGAGGGAUGCAAAGGCUUCCCAUUUUUCCUUCUGGGCAAACUCGAUGGAAGGCCUCCACAUGUGCUGUGUCAGUGCAGGAGACAAUGCUGCAUCACGUCCCAGCCAGGAGUGUGUCUGACACACUGCAGCCAAAACCAGAGGUACAGCAGCAGCACCAACGUGCAGCUGAUCACAGGACUGUCCUGGACCACACCUGCGACUCCCAAUUCUGUCCCAAAACAGGACUUUUCUCUCACUCUGCCUUCAUGUGCUUUGGGGAGCUGUGGGUGACACAGUGGCUCAUGGUCUGGAGGAGAGGUGACGGUGCUGGGCUGCAAACCUCACAGAAGGAUAAGCAAAGAGCAUAGCUGGGGAUCAAAACUGGAGGCCAAAUAAAUGAAGGCUGACUUUCCCUUGCAGCAUGCAACUAACUGUGGAACUUAUCUCUGCAAGGCUUUGUCCCAAGUGCUAGAAGAUUCAGAAACAAGCCCAUGCAAGUAAAAAUCGUUAAAGGCUGUGUCGCAUUAAGAUGUUGAUAAGGGAAAAGCUGUGAUGGAUAAUGUGUGAGGAUGUGUAGGAUGUGUGAGGAUUUGUCUAUCCUUUCACAGCCUACAUGGUACAUGUAGAAGAUUAUGUUUUUAUUGAUAAGUUUAGUAUUUUGCAGGUAAGCCCUGCUCUUUCUUCUCUUGAUUUCAAUGGCUGAGUUUAUAAUGCAUAUCUAAUGAAAUAUUACAAUAAUUUUGCUGAUUUUCCUGCAAAAAAUAUGUUGGAUUUUAGUAUGCACUCAUUAUUCAUCUGCAUUCCGUUCCAUUCCAGUGGUAUGUGGACUUUCAGGUCAAACCAGAAAUCUUGUCACCCAUACAGCAGCGCCCUAAUCAAUGUUGCUGCUCUAAUCACAUGUAUGUAGAAAACAAAUUUCCAAAUAAUUAUUAGUCUGAGCUCAUUAUUUGGGUUCUGCAAAUAUUUGGCCACAGUCUUGCACUUGAUUCAGGGUUUACACAGCCUUGUGCAAACUGUUGAUCUGCCUUUUGAUGGUGGCUUAUCCCUUUAACAAUUUCUUAACUCAUUCCCUGCCUUAUGUUGCAUGGUCCUUACAUCUGUCCCCCCACUGUUCCUACAAUCUCCUACUCCCCAUCCCCCUUAAAGCCUCCACUCCUUCAGCCAUCAUGAAUCUCCUUCACCCUGCAUCCAUCCCUCUGAGGAAAAAAGUGCUGCAAAACUGCUUUUAAGUAACAGCCACAAAACUAUUUGAAAGGCUUUCUGGCUUUGUUGUUAGCUGGUCUCCCUUCUUUCUGAAGCUGCAGCUACUCCCAGCCACAGCCUGCUUGGAAGGGAGGAAAUACUGUGAGGUCUCGUCUCUGCAGAAGUAAAUGGGGAAUAUCUCAUUAUUUAAAAUGCAGUCAGGAUUUCAGCCUCAUAAAAAUAACACUGCAAUAAUCUCAGAGCUGGGGACAAAAAGUGUUUAAGGGGGUGGUAGGAAAAUUCAUCCUGCUUAAAUUAGGCCAGAUUUCAGUCAGUCUCCAGAGGUUCAGAGAGCUUGAAUAAAUGCUGGGUACUUUCUGGCCCUCUUGAUGUGUGUUGGCAAUAGGCUUUAACUCUGCACAUCACUCAUCUUGACAACUGCAGUCCAACAAAGUUACCUCGCAAUUCAGGUCACCCGAUGGCAUCCUAAUGCAUCACUUUCCCACUUGGAACAUUAGUCAUCACUUGAUCCAGGGAAGGUUUUGAAAACAGUGUGACUGUCGGCAUUGGGGUAUCUGUUCUCUCCAUAACAGAGAGCCCGUGUCAGCUAAUGAACAAGGGGAUAUUGAUCAGAAAUCCAUUGCUUGAUUGACAGCUCUUGGCAAUGUGAAAAACUGCAGAUGAAAGCUUGCACAGUUUAAAAGAUCACCCAGACCUCAAAGCUGAUUUGAAGCUUUAAAAGUCAAUCUCUGUCUAUCAAUUAUGGGGGGAUUUUUUGUACUACACAGAGGAAAGUUAUUCUUUGAAAAUUUGCAUGCAGGAUGUCUAAUUUAAUUUCAUGUAAUAGUCACAUUUCAGUGACAAAUGUCAGAUCACUGCUUUUUUAAGCAUGUUAAGGUUUUCCAGCACUUACAAAGAAUGAACACUCUGAUUUAGUAAUAUGUUUAAAUCAACCAGUGUAUCAGACUUUGUGCUUUAAUUAUGUGCUCAGAUAAAAAAAGUGUUGUUUUUGCUUUACUAAAC
This is a long non-coding RNA of Passer domesticus (house sparrow), 2258 nucleotides long. RefSeq lists it as uncharacterized. NCBI's taxonomy places the organism in Eukaryota, Metazoa, Chordata, Aves, Passeriformes, Passeridae. The record is from RefSeq and is a predicted model, not a curated record. The transcript has 3 exons.